CCACAGUCAAACGUUGACCUGCUGAAGCGUGUUUCCUCGUGACUUCGCGUGGGGGAGCCGCGACCGUGGCUCACCAAAUUGACGUGCCCAAACACAGCGACAACCCGGGAGGGUUACCCCAGGAAGGGCAUCCGGCAUCAAAACAAAACGAACAAAUCACAAAAAGGUGUUUGUGUGUGUGAGAGAGAGACCUCCUCCAGAGAUGAGCCGCACAAUCCUCCAGAUCUUUCCUGCCGAGUCAUCGUAC
Long non-coding RNA from Phycodurus eques (leafy seadragon), 247 nucleotides. RefSeq lists it as uncharacterized. NCBI's taxonomy places the organism in Eukaryota, Metazoa, Chordata, Actinopteri, Syngnathiformes, Syngnathidae. The transcript is spliced from 3 exons. The record is from RefSeq and is a predicted model, not a curated record.